UACGAAGGGGACUAGCGUUGUUCGGAUUUACUGGGCGUAAAGCGCGCGUAGGCGGAUCGCUAAGUCAGGGGUGAAAUCCCAGAGCUCAACCCUGGAACUGCCUUUGAUACUGACGAUCUGGAGAUCGGGAGAGGUUGGUGGAAUUCCGAGUGUAGAGGUGAAAUUCGUAGAUAUUCGGAGGAACACCAGAAGCGAAGGCGGCCAACUGGCCCGAUACUGACGCUGAGGCGCGAAAGCGUGGGGAGCAAACAGG
RNAcentral lists this ribosomal RNA (253 nucleotides) under uncultured bacterium. Its description in RNAcentral is "partial 16S ribosomal RNA". It matches the Rfam family "Bacterial small subunit ribosomal RNA", at positions 524 to 776 of the family's 1533-position model. The record is from RNAcentral.